UUUGACGUUAGCGGCGGACGGGUGAGUAACACGUGGGUAACCUACCUAUAAGACUGGAAUAACUCCGGGAAACCGGGGCUAAUGCCGGAUAACAUAUCGAACCGCAUGGUUCGAUAGUGAAAGACGGUCUUGCUGUCACUUAUAGAUGGACCCGCGCCGUAUUAGCUAGUUGGUGAGGUAACGGCUCACCAAGGCAACGAUACGUAGCCGACCUGAGAGGGUGAUCGGCCACACUGGAACUGAGACACGGUCCAGACUCCUACGGGAGGCAGCAGUAGGGAAUCUUCCGCAAUGGGCGAAAGCCUGACGGAGCAACGCCGCGUGAGUGAUGAAGGUCUUCGGAUCGUAAAGCUCUGUUGUUAGGGAAGAACAAAUGUGUAAGUAACUGUGCACAUCUUGACGGUACCUAACCAGAAAGCCACGGCUAACUACGUGCCAGCAGCCGCGGUAAUACGUAGGUGGCAAGCGUUAUCCGGAAUUAUUGGGCGUAAAGCGCGCGUAGGCGGUUUUUUAAGUCUGAUGUGAAAGCCCACGGCUCAACCGUGGAGGGUCAUUGGAAACUGGAAAACUUGAGUGCAGAAGAGGAAAGUG
RNAcentral lists this ribosomal RNA (591 nucleotides) under Staphylococcus chromogenes. RNAcentral describes it as "bacterial SSU rRNA". It matches the Rfam family "Bacterial small subunit ribosomal RNA", at positions 85 to 663 of the family's 1533-position model. Lineage: Bacteria; Bacillati; Bacillota; Bacilli; Caryophanales; Staphylococcaceae. The record is from RNAcentral.